UGGCGACCGGCGCACAGGUGAGUAACACGUAUCCAACCUGCCGAUGACUCGGGGAUAGCCUUUCGAAAGAAAGAUUAAUACCCGAUGGCAUAGUUCUUCCGCAUGGUAGAACUAUUAAAGAAUUUCGGUCAUCGAUGGGGAUGCGUUCCAUUAGGUUGUUGGCGGGGUAACGGCCCACCAAGCCUUCGAUGGAUAGGGGUUCUGAGAGGAAGGUCCCCCACAUUGGAACUGAGACACGGUCCAA
RNAcentral lists this ribosomal RNA (244 nucleotides) under uncultured bacterium. RNAcentral's name for it is "partial 16S ribosomal RNA". It matches the Rfam family "Bacterial small subunit ribosomal RNA", at positions 89 to 334 of the family's 1533-position model. The record is from RNAcentral.